RNAcentral lists this ribosomal RNA (444 nucleotides) under Shigella sonnei. Its description in RNAcentral is "bacterial SSU rRNA". It matches the Rfam family "Bacterial small subunit ribosomal RNA", at positions 1 to 441 of the family's 1533-position model. The record is from RNAcentral. Lineage: Bacteria; Pseudomonadati; Pseudomonadota; Gammaproteobacteria; Enterobacterales; Enterobacteriaceae.
AAAUUGAAGAGUUUGAUCAUGGCUCAGAUUGAACGCUGGCGGCAGGCCUAACACAUGCAAGUCGAACGGUAACAGGAAACAGCUUGCUGUUUCGCUGACGAGUGGCGGACGGGUGAGUAAUGUCUGGGAAACUGCCUGAUGGAGGGGGAUAACUACUGGAAACGGUAGCUAAUACCGCAUAAUGUCGCAAGACUAAAGAGGGGGACCUUCGGGCCUCUUGCCAUCGGAUGUGCCCAGAUGGGAUUAGCUAGUAGGUGGGGUAACGGCUCACCUAGGCGACGAUCCCUAGCUGGUCUGAGAGGAUGACCAGCCACACUGGAACUGAGACACGGUCCAGACUCCUACGGGAGGCAGCAGUGGGGAAUAUUGCACAAUGGGCGCAAGCCUGAUGCAGCCAUGCCGCGUGUAUGAAGAAGGCCUUCGGGUUGUAAAGUACUUUCAGCG